UUAAAUAGUGUUGAAUUAUUUUCAUUUGCACGAUUAAGAAGGGAUUUGUCAUCGUAACUAAGGCUAUCCAUUUAUAACUAUAAGCUCGGUUUAAUUUCAUAUGUUGUUUGUGAUUGUAGGUANNNNNNNNNNNNNNNNGAUUGUAGGUAAAUCUUAAGAACACCAAUGACCUAUGUGAGUGAUGAUCACAGCUUGUGAAAUUAAACUCCUAAUUUAAUCUUAUAGUUAAACAACAUUGAUGAACAUGAGGUAUACAUCUAAUUUUUCAAUUUCCAUUUGCCAACCCCACGUUUACACAACAUCAUCACAUAACUAACCAUGCACAAACAUAAUGGGAAUAAACACAAUAUUAAAAACGACACAACUGGCCGCCCCCACCAUAAUUAAACACUGAUUUUUAAUUUAGGAUCGGAUAAUCAAAUUUUGGGAUUAAUUCAGAAUUUGAUUUCCCUUAAAUUAUUUUCAAUUUUCAAUUCAUUUCCCCAUUUACUUCUUGGCGGUGGCGUUGUUGAUGGCCUGCUUCCCCUGCUCAACGUAGUGGGUGGUGCCGGCGACCACCGUGUCCUUGGCGCCGAUCACCGCCUCCUUGGUGUUGGCCACGAUCCCCGGCGCUGCCGGUGCAACUAUGGCGGGCUUCUUCUCCUCGACCUUGCCGCCGCCGGGCAUCAUGUCUUGGGCUUUCUUCAAUAGUCCGUCCAUAACUAGCUAUAAGCAAAUUGGAUUCAAAGAGAUGGGAAAUUGGUACGUAAGAGAUUUUAGUGUGUGUUGAUGGGUUCACGGGACAUGGUACGUACUAGUUAUAUAGUGGUACAAUUUUUUGGAAGUUUGGAAGAUACUUUGUAUAUCUUAUUAGAUCAUUGGUUUGGCUUUUUUGUGUAUGUGGCUUACGAUUGGCUUGCCGACAUCGAACUGAACAGGUUUUACGUGAUAGUAUUUACACGUUGCUGAAACUAUAAGGUGCUUUUUCUUUUAACAUGAAUAUAAAGAUAAAAGGUGGGACCAUUUACAAGCGGAGUCACUCGCAAGUAGUUCGGCUUUGAAAUAUUUGUUCGUGAUUCGGUUUGAUUUCACAUGAGUCAUAUAUAAAUUAAUAUAUAUUCGAUUUGAUAGACUCUCGAGCUAGUUCGAAGUUGAUAACUAGCUCAAGUACCGUAUGGAUCAGUAGUAAACUCAAUAAUAUGCAACGUGUAUUUGCUUCAAAUUAAAUCACAUGUAAUUUGUAAUUGUGAUAUUGGAUACGCAAGUGGUACAUUGUCUAAGUUUACCUAUUUUAAGCGAGAAAAGUAGAAACUUGUAAAUUUUAGGAUAAUUUGCUUUUAUAGCUUUGACUCGUUGAUGUUUCUAGAAUAUAAGCUUCCAAUUCUGCUCAAAUUGGACUCAUACAGGGGUUUUAAUGAGCGAAGUUCGAAUUAUAUUCGAAUUUCAUUUGAAUAAGCUCUAACUCGACGUACAUACUAAAAAUUUUAACUCAAACUCGCUGAAAAAGUAACGAACCAAUCUUAAACAUAAUACAUUUUGACUCAAUUCAAUCCGUAAAUAAUUCUAAAAAAUGACGAGUAAGAUGGUUUUAAUGCAUCUAGUCAUGUAGAUAAUUUGAAUGGUUUAAUGAAUAUAGAUGAAUAAUUUGGAAGAAAAAUAUUUUUUGUUAUUUGUCGUUUGCCUUUUGAACUUGUUGUGGAGUUGGAAGAGUAGUAGCUAGCCACACAAAUAACCAAGGAUGUGGCUUUUUUGGGAAGCCAUCAAGCCAAGCCAGAUGAUGGGUUGGUUUUUGUCUUCUUUCCAUAAUAAUCUGACCGAAUUUGAGUAAAUAUCAAACCGAAAAAAUAUAGGACCAAGAAAAGCCAACAGUGGUAUUGUUGCCGACAUACACAAACAAUAAUGUCGACCACGGAGGUUUUGUGGAUAUGCUUUCGAGAUGCCCCAUAGCCAAUGGCACUUUGCCAUAUUUUGCUUCCUUCUUGGAUAUUAUUUGAACUCUCAUCUCUGUGAUAUUCCAAUAAGGAAAGAGAUUUAUUACAAUCUCCCAAUAAGGAAAGAGUUUCUAAGAGGAUGAAAAUUUAUAUGCCGAUUUUAUAUUUAACGAUAUAUGUUAUGCAAUUAGGUAUGUAACCUAUCAUCGUAUUUUUGACAUUAAUAUUUAUGUUAAUUGAUCCAAUGUGGUUGAUAUACUAUGGAUUUUUCAAAUUACCCCUUCCGCAACUCAUCCUUUUCAUAAACGUAGUUUAGGUGAAAUAGUCUUUAAUACCAAUUAUUGCAAUCUUUUUAGUAGAACUAUUUUUUAAAAGUUGUAGCUUCAAAGAAAACAGUGUUUACAGGUUAUAGGCCAUAUAUGACACGUCUUAUAAUAAGCUAUGACUCACUUAUCCGUAGCAAAAAUGUUAUUAAAUAAAGUCUUUAGUCUUCGAUUUGUAGAGAUUUUGGUUGUAGAUGAAUAAUAACUCAUUUGAAUGUACAGUUCGUCAUAUAGAUUGUUUUGGUUGGGAACAAGCCCUUUUGGUUGGGAACGGGCCCUUUUUAUGGUGAAAAGAACAGGCCCUUCUUGGUAUGAAGACGUGAGCCUUUUGGUUGGAACAGGCCCUUUAUCUAGUUCUCUGUUGGACUCUGUACUAUUGGGCCAAGUGAUCAAUGAUGGAGCUAUUAACAAAGUAAAGGUUGGGUAAAAUCCCUUUUAUCUUAUAAAUAAAAUUCUUUUAAAAUCUCCAUAUUUUAGUAUUCAUGCGAUCAUAUCGUUAAUUUUAAUUGAGUAUAUGUUAUUGGUUUUUUUGAAUCUUAUGAUUUAUAAUAUAUGGAUAGAAAGGUAAUUAAAUUAUUUUUCGAAAUCCUGGUAAGAGAGUAAUGACCGAAAUACUAAACUGGAUAUCGAAUUUUUAUCACAAACAUAACACCAAGUAAAAAAAUUUAUUUGACAAUUAUUUAUAAACUAUCAUAAUAAAAUUUGAUUUUUUAACCAUUUUUAUAAUGCAUGUGAAUUUUGUGACUUCGCCAAUGCAAAUUAUAUACAUGAUUUGGAUUCUACGUCAGAGAUAUGAAGUAAGCUCAGACACCAUGAAAUAAGCAUAUAAAUUUCAAAGCAUGCAGCAGACUCUGGUCAUUCUGCUAGUUUAUUCAAACGACAAGAACAUGCAAUCAAUGCAUGAAUCAGUGCUGGGAAAUAAGGAAAGCAAAACACCACAAACAAACUGGAUAAGAGAAACACAUCUACGGAGGUCAGUGACGACAUAUAUGGUAGAGUGACCAAACUGAAUUGUUCCUCGUUCACUUGUUUUAUUCCGACGACGAACAUCGAUUCGAGUUCAUCAAAGCUGUCCGAAACCGAAAGGAGAUACGUAUCUAGGGUCGUUGCCUAAGAACACCUCGGCCGACAACUUGAUGGCGAACUCGGUCGGGUGAAAGCCAUCCCAAAACAAAUGUUCGUCACGGUUCCCACAAAUGGUAGACGUUUGGUUGCACGCCCCACUUCCCUCCCCGCAACACUGGACUUUCAACUCUUUUAUACCUGCAUGCACAUUGGUUCAGGAACAAAUAGUUGAUAUAUUUUUUUGAUUUAAUUAUUUACAAUUGUCCUUCUAGUAAUUAGUUGAGUAAGUACUCUUAAUUAGUUGAUUACCAAACAAGGCGCCGUUGGUGAUGAAAUCCAGAGAAAUGCUGAAGGCGUUUCCGAGGGAGACCUUAGCGUCGGGCGCGAACUCCCCAAGCUUGUUAGAAGCUAGAGUCACGCCGUCGAAGAAAGCUUGAGCCAGCAGAUUUGCUCCGUCGAUGCAGCCGCCGGUGUCGUUGAAUGAUCUCGCAAAUGGGCAGCACCCAACCGCCGGAAUCGCCACUAUCCCGAACUUUUUAGCUCCAUAUAUAUACAAAUCCUGCCAAAUGUACGUACUUCAAUACCAUUAUUAUUUCAUUCAAGUCUUACGGAAAAGGAAGUAACCGGAUGAAACCCGAAAGGAAGGAAAUGUCCAAGAUGGGCAAUUAAGGAGAUCAACAAUUCGAUUGUCUUCUCUGAAAGUGUGUGUGACCCGAACAUCCCAAUCUCGUUGAAGAAGAAGUUGCAACUUUGUGAAUGUUCGAUAAGUGUCGGGCUGACUCUAAAAGUUAGUUUACCAGAUUUUAAAACUUUUCAAUUUUUAUGAUACUUAUAUAUAUAGGAUAACCAAACAACACUUAUCUAUCAUAAUUGAUCGGACUAUUGUUAAUCACUUGAUAGGCACUACUCAUAUAGACCGAAAUAUGAGAAGUGUUAUUAGCUUAAGUUCUAAUACUACUUUAUCUUAGGCGUUCUCACCUCAAAAACUAACUAGCUCGAGAGGUCAUGCUUUCUCCAACCCAACAACAAAAUCAAUUUGAUUGUACCUGAAGUUGGGCUCCGUAUUCCUCAACCAAAGAGGUAACCAACUCCUUGCCGGAGAUGUUGAAAGGUGGCGUAGUAGGGUCCGCGGUAAGAUUUUGUAGGUAAUCGAAGAUGUCGUUGCUUCCGGAGCUGAUGAGAAACACGGACUCCGCCAGCAAGGUGGAGGCCGCCUUCGGACCUAACAAUGCCGACAGGUUUGAAGCCACCGUAAUAAAUUGUUCUAUCUGCGUUUUCAUAGGCACCACCUAAAAAUAAUUCGAUUCGAUCCACCAAGAUUGGAGUUAUAUAUACAAACAUCUUUGUAUCAUAUAUCAAACCGGUAAGGCUAAUAAUUGAGUACUUACACUGGAGGUAGGGCCGGUUGAGUCGAAAAUUCCGCUGCCGCCUGAGGCGAAGUUGACCCCCCUUGUUAUGGUUUGGUUGAAUUUUUUACUGCAUUUACCGCCGGCGACGAGGGAGAGGAACGGCGGCGGACUUCUAUGGAACCCCAUCUUCUGUACUAUUCCGGGGAAAAUGAAAUAGCAUAACGGUUAGUUUUACAGUCAAUGUGAACACCGAUUAGGCCCAUGGGCCAAAUAUGGUCUUCGGAAGUAAAUCAUUAAGCCCAAGAAGGACCUUCAUUUUGAUACAAACGGCUGGCUGGACCAAAUGAACCAUACAUAAACCACUCAUCAAGAAAGUCGGAUAAAAUUCUGAUAUUGUUACGUUUCAAUCAGCAUUUAGUUAUAAUUUGUAACAAAUUAAGUAAUUGAACGAUUGAACUCAUACUAAGAAAUUUACCAAUCCAAUAUUUUAAUAUGAUUUGGACACAUGGUAGGUAGAUUUAUAUCAAAUUAAACGAAUGAGUCACAUUUAAGGUUUGAAGGCUUCGCACCAUUGUGUUUAUCAUUAAUUUUUUGGUUUGUAAACAUUUUCAUUUUUUACAUUUCUUAGGACGUGUUGAGAUCGAUUUUACAUUUUGGAUAAAUCCUUAAAAAUUUCUGAAUAUACUAUAUUGAUCUUUCCCUUCCAACGAUGAAAAAAAACAUAAUCAUGUUUAAUCUUGAUAUUGCUAAUUAAUGAUCAGUAACUGAAACUAUUAUGAUAUUUACCAAGAUAGUCAGCAAGAUUGAAACCAUUGCUGAACCUUCCAAUGGGCAAAGAAGAAGAAGAAUCAAUCCCAUAAAACGGGAAGCUAGCCGUCACCGUGCUCGCCGCCAAGUAAUCAUUGGUCCCGACGUCGAAUACCGAGUCCCCAAAUAGGUACACCGCCGGGAUAGUAGAAGCCGAGGACGAACAUAGUGUAAUAGUGCAAACAAGUAGUAUCGCCGACGAAACUCUGAAUUUCGUGGCCAUUUUAAUUCUGUUUGUGCUUAGUUUGGGGUUCUCCACCUUGGCGGCUCUUAUUUAUAGAAGACACACGUUUCUUUGAAUUUGAAGUCGAAUAUAUUUUCCGGCUGAUUUAGUUACAUGCUUUUGUUUAGGACGAGGUUUCCGAUUGUAAGAACAUUUAGGUAUCUACGUCCAAGGUCGAUGAAUCUUCUUGGAAUUUGUACUUUGCUGUUGUGUUUCUUUGCUUUACAGUGGAUUCAAGGAGGUUUUCAUUUUCAUUAUUGGUAUGUAUGUUCUUUCAUUGGUAUUUAUUAUGGAAGUACAGUACAGUUCUGACUAAACUUUGGGUAGAGCAACAGAGUGGUUUGUAUGUAGUGGAAAUUGGUUAUCUGUUUGGGGUUAAAUUAGCAUUUUGAGGGUAGGCAAACGGUUUGGGUGAACUUUGCAGUUAUGGACAGUAGAAGGUGGUAAGUGAUUGCGAGUGGGAUCGAGCAUAUUGAGGAAUGUAGGGACUAUGACAAUCAGAUCAGUAUUGGGAUACCCGAUAGAGCGAAUCAGGUAGAGUAAUGAUAAAAAUGUUUGUUUAUACUGUCCAUUAAUGUUCUUUUUUUAUAUAUACUAAAAUGAAUUAUUCUGUUACCGAAAAUUUUAUAAAAUAAGUGAAGAUAGAUAAAAAAAAUUUAUUAUAGAAAACGUAUUAGCAAAAUGAAAGUGUGAGACAAUUUAAUGAUUGUUAAUUGAAGAAUGGAAAAUACCACAAGACUCAUAAAAAGGAAAAUAUAUGAGCUCAAAAUAAAGUCCCCGUAAAUUCAAAAUAAAAUUUCAAUAAACUCAAAAUAAAGCCUCAAUAAACUCAAAAUAAAGUCAUCAUAAGAGAACCAAAUGUAUUUAUUCAAUAGUAAUUCAUAUUCUCUUUUUAUAGAUAAUAAUUCGUGGUCGGAAUGAUAUAUGGUUUGGGGCCAUCAAUAAGUUUCUAUGUCUAGAGAUUAUGAUUUAUGAAAUUAGUUUAUCAAGGCAAAUUUGAUAACCCAAAUACGAACCAUGACCAUGGAAUAACUAAGCAGAAAAAUCAAAGGAGCAGACUCUAAUCGUUCUGCAAGUUUAUUUCAAAACCAGAAGCACAUGCAUGAAUGAGUGCUCUGAGGAACAAGGAAACAGAACACCACAAAUAACAAAAAGUUGUGAAAACAAACUGGAAAAAGUAACACAUUACGGAAGUCAGUGGAUAUGGUAGAGUGAUCAUUCAAAUUAUUUCUCGUUCACUUGUUUUAUUCCGAUGAUUUGAGUUCAUCAGAGCUGCCCGAAUCCGAUAGGAGAUACAAAUCUAGAAUCAUUGCCGAAAAACGCACUGGCAGACAAUUUGGUGACGAACUCGGUCGGGUGAAAGCCGUCCCAAAACAAAUGUUCGUCGCGAUUCCGACAAAGGGUAGAUGUUUGGUUGCACGCUGUGCUUCCUUCUCCGCAACACGGGACUUUCACCUCUUUCAAACCUGCACAUUGAUUAGUUUAAGUACGGAUAGUUGAAUUCAUUAUUCAUUUUAGUACAUUUAUAAUGUGCACAUUAGUUGAUUUAGUAUUAAUUAACUCUUACCAUGCACGGCACCGUGGUUGAUGAAAUCCAUAGUGAUGUUGAAGGCGUUACCGAGGGAGAACUUAACGUCGGGAGCUAACUCCGCAAGUUUCUUAGAAGCCAGAGUGACACCGUCGAAGAAAGCUUGAGCCAGCGAAUUCGCUCCGUCGAUGCAGCCCCCGGUUUCGUUGAACGAUCGCGCAAAUGGGCAGCACCCAAGUGCCGGAAUCGCCACUAUCGCGAACUUCUUUGCUCCGUUUAAAUAUAAUUCCUACAAAAUGUACGUACUUUUGAUAUUAUUUAUUUCAAAAUUAUUUCCUAACCACUCGAGUUAUAUCGAGAUUUAUUGGUUAACAUUGGUAUUAAAUAUUUUUUAUUUACUAUUUUAUUUUAUUAUGGAUCCCACUUGACCAAAAUUGAAUGAAAUCUAAUUGUACCUGAAGAUGGCCGCCGUAUUCCGUAAUCAAAGAGGUGACCAACUCUUUGCCGGAGACGUUGAAAUGAGGAGCAGCGGGGAAGGAGGAGAGAUUUCGUAUAUAAUUGAAGAUGUCGUUGCUUCCAACGCUGAUGAGAAACACAGACUCCGCGAUCAGGGUGGCAGCUGCAGUCGGGCCUAGCAAUGCCGACAGGUUUGCGGCCACCGUCGUAAAUUGUUCUAUCUGGGUUUUUAAAGGCACCACCUACAAAACAUUUUGAUCCACCGCCCGACACUGGAGUUAUACCAACAUUUUUUGUAUCACAUAUCGAACCGGUAAGGCUAAUUCAAUACUUACUCCGAUGGUCAAGCCGGUCGAGUCGAAAAUUCCACAACCGGCUGAGGCGAAGUUGACGCCCUUUGUUAUGGUUUCGUUAAAUUUUUUACUGCAGGCCCCGCCGGCGACGAGGGAGAGGAAAGGCGGCGGACUUCCGGUGAACCCCAUCUUCUUUACUGUCGCGGUAAAAAAUGAAAUAGCAUAACAGUUAGCUCUACCCAGUCGAUGUGAGCUCUGAUCAAGCCUAUGGGCCCAACAUGGUCUAUGGGAGUAAGCCCUUAAGCCCAAAAAUGAAGGUGCCAUUGAUUAGGGCGGUUUAUGAACCGAGUUGAGCUUAACUUCAUCAUGCUCAACUUUGACUUCGUUAAUUUUUAGCCGAACUCGAGCUAAAUUUUUUUAAUUUGUGUCGAGCUCGAGUCUAACUCGCUAAUUACCAUCAAUGAGUCAAACUCAACCUCAACUAAAACUAUGAAAUUUGAAAUAUGAAAUAUAUACACAUCGCCAAAUUAAAUUAAAAAGCAAGCUACAAUCAUUACCGAUUUGGUCAGCAAGAUUGAAGCCAUUGCUGAACCUUCCAAUGGGCAAAGAAGAAGAAGAGUCAAUCCCAUAAAACGGGAAGCUAGCCGUGGCCGUGCUCGCCGGCAAGUAAUCAUUGGUCCCGACAUCGACUAUCGAGUCCCCAAAUAUGUACACCGCCGGGAAAGUACAAGCCGACGACGGUGAACAUGAAACACAGAGGUGGUUGUUAUCAAUAUUGAGAAACAAGAAGCAAACAAGUAGUAUUGCCGACGAAACCCUGAAUGCCGUCGCCAUUAAUUUUGAAUUUGUUGCUGUUUGGUUUGGGGUUCUCGAUCCUGGGCGGCUUCUAUUUAUAUAAGAGACACGUGUCAUUGAAUUUUAUGUCGAAUAUAUAUAUUGCGGCUGAUUUUUACAAUUUACAUGUUUGUUUUCCAUUUCUUGUCCGGUUAUAAUUUAAUGUUAUUUUAGAGGCGAGUUUUUCGAUUGGGAAGAACAUUUAGGUGUAGACGUCCAAGCCCUACUAGGUCGACGAAUCUGGUUAGAUUUUGUACUUUGGUGUUGUGUUUUUUGGUGUAGAAUGGACUAAAUGUGGUUUUGUCAUUUUGAUUCUACUUUUUAUUUAGAAACGGUGGACAUUAGGUCAUCAUCAUUAGUAGAAAUAAAAUGAUAUAGCGCGAUACUUAAACGAUCAGUGCGAAUAUAGUUAACAUCCGUAAAAAUAAAACUUAAACACAGGAUGGAAACCAAAGGGAAAAGAGUGGCAUGGUGACAAGAACAUGCGUAACUCGAUUGUCUUCACAAAAAAUAUACGUGAUUUGUACAACCCAAUAUCUUUCUAGGAGAUGUUGCAUUAGUGUAUAAGAGAUGUCAAAAAUCAUCAAAAGGGUGGUCUCCCAAAAUACUUAAAAUUGCACAUUAAGAAUCUAGUUGCAAGUUCAACUUUUGAAAGCCCGAUUCCAACCAAGUAUAGUGUGGUUUACAGGGAGAGAGUGAAUGAACGAUUUGUAUGAACCUCAUAAGUAUUAGAAAGUGGUUUAUAAGAGACUAUUUUACGAGUCGAACGCUAAUUAGUUGCUCACGAGAGCGGCUUGGCUUGUUACCUAAAACUCAUUACGAGUUACUUAUCAAGUUGGUUCGCAAGUUUGACUCAACUCGAACCUAUCAAGAUGAAUCAAAAUUAACUCGAGCUCAAUUCAUUUAAUUUACUGUUAACUUAAACCUAUCAAGACGAAUUAAAAUUAGCUCGAACUCAACUCAUUUAAUUUAUUUUUAUGUCCAACCCCCUCGAACUUUUUAAUCGUUUUCCGAACCGAAUACCGGAUGGGAGACAAAUAGCUUGUAAUUACAAAAAGUUAGCUGCUGAGAAUAAAUUUUGGUAAAUGCUGCAUACUGAUGUGCUAUAUUUUCGACACACUUAUUCUCGUUAUAAACUAUAUUUUUUGUGUAUGAAAAUGUAUUCAAAAUUAGAUUUUGAACUUUCUUACCCCUCGAGAGCCGUAUUACAUUGUUUGGGAUGUUUUUAUGCAUUACAGGCGAUUUGUGGCGUUUGGGGACAAGCCACUAAACACUCCAUGUUCCUAAAAAACACAGGCAUGUCCUUUUAAAAAGCGCUUUCGGAUGAAACAUCCAGAGAAAAGAACACGGGUUUGUCCUUGAGGAACACGACGUGUUCAAGAAAAGAACAUGUCGUGUUCUUCUUUCAGGUACGGGUACUGCAUUCUCUCUUCUUCCUUCGAUUUUCUUCAUUCAUCUUCUCCCCCCUCUCGACAAACCCGACGAAAAUCUUUCAGGUACGGGGCCCGCCAGACUGCUCCCCGGGAUGCGCAGGUUCAAGUUUUGAGCGAGCAUGUCGACACUCUCUCGGGAUGGGUCUACUCUCUACAGGCUACCGUUGCUGAGAUGUAUGCUUAUCGGCAGUACACUUUUCAGGAGCAGCAACGCUACUAUGCCUUCACUCACCCAGAUUAUCCUCCUGGUGUACCAUUCUAGUAUCAUCCACCUUCCCCACCAUAUGACAUGGAUGAACAGUAGCACGUCCAUUCAGUUUCAUGAUGGUUACUUGUCAUAUCCAGAACUUGUGUUUUAUGUCUUUAUUUUUUAUUGUGUAUCGUGGUUGAACUUAUGUUAGGUUGUGUUUCAUUUCGUUUGCUAUAGAUUGAUGUAACGGAUUGACAGUAGCCUUUCUUCUUUUCCUUCUUUCAUGUCUCUAUGGUUGUAGGACUCUUUUCUUAUCUCAAAGAAGUUUCGAUCUCAAAUGUCGUCUGAAUAGAGCCCUGGUCCUCGUCCAGGCUCUACAUUGGUUUGCUCUCACGAUAUCAAGUUAGUACCAUAUUUUCUACCCUUUCUCCCUUCAUUGUUUGGUCCAUUGGGGACAAUGUCCUAUUCAAGUGUGGGAUGAAUUAGGGUAUUUCUAAAUGCGGGUUCAUAACUUGUGAGUAAUAUUGUUGAAUGGUUGUCCUUACUUUUCGAACUCCCUCUUGAGCUUAGUUUGUGGAUGUUAGUGAAUGCAUGUUUAGUGUUCUCAUUCUAUUUGUGGAUGUGAGGAUGUCAUUUUCGAACCACCAGUCAUUUUGCCAAAAUUAGUAUACUAGAAACUCAUAUACAUAUGUUAAAAAUGAAUUGCUACCUUCCACUAUUUUGAUCUAUGUUGAGUUAGAGUGUAUGUGUAUCCAUCCAACAAAUUUUUCUAGGUGUUAUGAAGCUUAAAACAGGCGGGAGGAGUAAGAAUAAGGUUGCUAAAAUAAAAAAUGUUGCGGGGGUUCAAUUGCAACUGAAACACGUAGGGUGACCCUAGAGGUCAGCCGCCUUCCCAACCUUUAUGAGGUUUAGAACGUGGGCCGAAGAUUGGUUACUUGUAUUUGAAUAAAGCCGCUACCUAAAAAGUAAUAAAGAAAGAAAGCAAAGAAAAAACAUUUUAAUAUUCGAGCUUUGCUUUCAGUAAUCUAUAAUGUUUGAUAGUCAAGUAAGCAACUCAAAAUAAGAGAGAGGUGUUAGUAUAACUUGAAUGCUAUUAAAAAUUGAAGCACCUCCUCCCUCAGGACGGAAGAGAAAUCUCAGUUAGGGCGAGUCGUCGGUCUAUUACUUCCGCUGGCAACUAGAAGGUAUAAGUGUUUGGGGGAUAUGGAUACACUCUGGUGGUUAGGUGUCAAAUCAUUUAUACCAUAUGCAUGAGUCUAUCUUAUACUAAUUUAAGGGAUUCAGUAUUUCAUGCUUAAUUGUGUGGUUUGUUGAUUGACUUGCAUUCCUGAACACCAUGAUAAAAGGUUUGUCUUUUGUUCACCAUAUGUCGAGUUCUUUAUAGAGAGUGAUUAGUAGGUUUAUUUGAGGACAAGCAAGCAUUUAAGUGUGGCGUGAUUUGAUGUUUUGUAUUUUCGACACACUUAUUCUCGUUAUAAACUAUAUUUUUGUGUGUUGAAUUCAAACUAGGGAUUUUGAGUACAUGUUUGGUUCUCUUGCCCCUCGGGGCGGUAUUACGUUUGGGGACAAGCGAGAAGUAAUACGGGCGAUUGAAGUUGCUCGGAGCGAAGAUGGGUUGGAAUUUAAGAGGAACACAUCGUGUUCUUCAGGGACACACCCAUGUCCUUUUCUAUGAAAACCACACCCGAGAGCCUCUGUUAUGAGUAACAAACCCGUGUCUUUAAGGAACACGGCGUGUCCUACCUUCAGACGGGCUUUCAAAUUAUUUUCCUUCUCCAAUUUGAAAGAGACGAUAUAAAUAGCCCGAGUAGCCUUUUUGACGAGACACACAUUAUUCUACACAGAGAUUCGAGUUUUUAGAGAGAGAAAGAGUGUCAGAGAUCGAUUGAAGCGAGAGAACAUCACCGGUUGGAGACGGAUUGAAGAUCGGCGACAAGACGGAGAUUUCUUGACGAAGCAUGUUUUCUUCUCGGGUUAUUUUCCUUUCUUCUUCCUCUAUGGUUUCCAGAACCAUGAGUAGCUAAAUCUUUCGUGUUGUUUGGAUGAGAUGAAAUUUUAGUUUAGAUUUUGUAUGGAUGUUGGGGUUUUAACCCUUUGAUUUGUUAUCGAGGUUAUUCAAACUUAUGAUGUGUUCAUGCUGAACCUAAUUUCUGAUUCAAAUUUGUUUGAUCGCCUUAAUUGAAUCAUCGUCAUUAAUUUGUGGGUCCGAGAGGAACAUAGAUUGAUAGGUCGCUUAGGAAGAACUCUAGAUUGUUCGUUAGCUCGAGAGAGGAACAUAUCAUUUAGACUUUUUGCAUCAUGUAUCGUUGUGGUAUUUCAUCGAACACCUUUAAUUUGUUCUGUUAGGGUGUAGAUUAGCUCGAGAGAGGAACAUAUCAUUUAGACUUUUUGCAUCAUGUAUCGUUGUGGUAUUUCAUCGAACACCUUUAAUUUGUUCUGUUAGGGUGUAGAUUAGCUCGAGAGAGGAGUCUACAGUCGAGCAGGAUAGAUCUUUUGAGGCACGAGAGUGAUCUAAGACUAGCGUAGGAAAUCACCAAGCCAUUAUAAUCUGAAUAAUUGAGAUUGCAUAUCGUUCAUCCAUGCAUUGCUAGCUAUUGUGGAUUCGAGUCCGAACAACCUUCAUUCCCAUAUUUGAAACUCAAUUUCUUGCAUUUGCUUUGUUUUGAUUUGCAUUCUUAGUUGAUAAUUGGAUACAAAAACAAUGGAUAGUUUAAUACACCAAUAUAAAAACAAUCAAUCAAUCAUUAUUACUUGGUCUAGUUUGCAUAUCUAAGUUGAGUAAUAUCGUUAGAAAGACUUUAGAAAAAUAAACGAUUUCAUUAAAACAAUUUAAUGGGUAUUUAAUUAGCGGAAUAAAAUCCGCUCAUGACAUACUAACCAACCGACAAAACAAAACCAUACGUGGGGAAUUGAUAACAACUAAGAUCAAUAAGUACAAGAUGAUCAUCUGAUCAUGCACUUCGAUGUAUAUGUCGGAUGACUUUUGGGACCAUACGUUGCUUUAAAUAAUGACACACACUUACUUACCAAAAAGAUUUUAAAGCCAAACACUAACAACAAUCUGUAUUAAUUUAUUCUUCCCAACAACAUUGGUGUCUUUGAGGAGAUUUUGGAUCGUCAUGUUUGGAAUUUAGGAUAUAUUUCUCGGUGUGGAUUUAGGGUAUAUGAUGAUUGCAUUAGUUGGUUUAAUACCUUUUUAGUACAUCUUACGUAUUAGUUUUGAUUGGCAUUCCAAAUUUGGGUUAGUAUCGAUCCAUGAAUUUGUCAAAACCCUUAAGAGUGAGAAAGAAACAUCUAACUACAAUCAUGGCCCUCGUUGAUCUCUCAUAUAGCUUAAUGGCUUCCAACGGUUAAUAUGAUUCGGGUGAUGGUUCAAUUUAUAAAACAUGAUGACAUUUUAAUGGAUUGCCCCAACUUCAUGAAUUCGAUCAGUGGAAAAUCAAUCUACUCUAGGUUAAUUGAACAAAUUUGGUUUAACAAGGAUUUAGAAUUUAAAACCAUCUUAUUACUAAUUUACAAGAAUCAUACACAAUGAAUUAGAGUGUUAAAAUCUCAUGGCAAAAAUCGAGCUUGGACGAAUUCGAACAAUUAUCAUAUCCAAAUAAUUGUUACAAUUCGAUCCCCAUUACUAUUAUAAACCAUCAACAUUAAUGGUCACAUUUACUUCUAGCUGUAAAAUAUUUCUGUUUGUAUGAUAAACUUGGUAAAACGGUGUUACAUUCACCAUCGAUGACGAUUUUUUGUACUCUCUUCUCUUCCAAUUUUUGUCAAGCACCGUUUAGUCUCGAUAACUCAAAUUGUUGAGAUACAGUUCUGAUAAGUUUUAUAAUAUUUAUUAACAAUUAUCCUGAUCAAUUCAAGUCUUUCCUAAUAAGAACACACCUAUGCUUAAUGAAAUGUAAUGGUAGUAGACAAUUCGAUUACAUAGAACAUGAUUCAUAUUUAUUGUUCAUCAUGUCACAUACUAUAAGCUGAAGCAACCAACUGUAAAAACAAACCAUCUAGAUGUUUUAUUUUCCAUUAGGAGACCACUCUCAAAUAUCAAGAACUCAACUUGUUCACCAGCUGUUUCAAACUCACACCUUCACCAACAUCCUUCCUAACAUGCUCCUUAAUCUCCCCAACAACCUUCCUCAUCUUCACAUCGUCCAUCAACUCCUUAAUCCUCUCCCCAAUCUCUUCCCCCUUCACCAAGAAAUUUCCCAUCCAACCCCAUUCCCCACCCAUAAACCCUAGCCCACACCUCUCCACCACUCCCCCAUUCACCUUCUGAUCUCCAUUAGGCGGCCACCCCAUCAUAGGAACGCCGCACCAUGCAAACCCCACCACAAAGUUCCACCCGCAGCUCAAAAAUCCCCCCACAAAUUCGUGUCCAAUUAUGUCAGCCCGAUCCACCCACUCCUUCACCACCACCCCUCUCUUCCCAACCUCCUCCAUCAUCUCCUCUCCCAAAACAUCUUCCAACCUCUCUUUGUCCUUUUGGUCCACUUUGUCCUUCACCAUCCAGAUGAAAUGAACUCCUGAUCCGAUCAAUCUUUUCCCCAACUCUUUGAUUUGGUCUCUUGGCAGAGUCGUCCUGUUCCCAAAACUAACGUACACGACGGACUUUGCUGGCUUCCCUUCUAACCACUUCAACGCCAUUUCUGUUCCUGUAGUUAGAACAAAAAUCAUUAGUUUGGUCAUGACACAAUUAUGUCUAUUGUAUCAUGGCCACAUGGGUACUAAAAUGUCAUGAUAUAAAGUGUAGAAUACCCUAAGAUUCAUUUAUAAUUAAACAAGGGGCUAAACUGUAAAUGACAAAAUAACCACCACCAUUGGUUAUAAACAGGGUAAUGACUAAUGGUCCCCAAGAAUUGAAUACCAACUCAUUUUUUCAUAUCCAAUUAGAGAAAUUUUAAGAAGAGAGAAAACUACCUUCUUCAAAGAUCUUUCUGUACGUCCUGCCUUUGUUCUUCCAUUAUAGCAUGAAAUUGGAGACAUAACUAGGUCAAAACUGGACCCAAUUCUGAUAUGUGCGUCCAAUUCAGUUGGAUAUGUUUUUUUUAACACAAAACAUGGCCAGCCAUUCGAAUUGAUUUCUGCUUCGUUCGGGAUCCAAUUUCGAAAUUAUUUGGGUCCACCAAUCAUGUUCCAAUUUGAAUAUGAAUAUGGGCAGAAUUGAUAAUUUAUCACUAUUUUCAUCCUAUUCUAGCAAAGGUUAUAGGGCAAUAAACACAAAACACCUGAGCCUCUUUCCAACUUGGUCUCGAACCCAUGGGGGAUCAGUCCGAUGUUGAACAGAGGAGGCAAACGAUCAUCUACUUCCCCUGUUCUGAUCGCUUUCAGAGCUUCAGAUUCCAGGCAGUCAAACGACCACUCCAUCGAAUUUGGAGAGACACUCGCCGCUGGAUUUGAACAAGCUGGAGAACAGAGUCUCCGGGUUUAGAAGCACCGGCGGGAUCGACGAUCUGGACACGUCUCCGAUUCCGGGGACUUCGAAUUUCCCGGCGGAUUCCAGUUGGGUUUUGGAUAAAUUAGGGUAAUGGGAGAGAAAAUAAAACAUUCUGGCAGAGGACACGUAGAGGAUGUAGUUAGGGAUGUUGAGAGGUUGGGUGACGGAGAUGGUGGAGGAGAGUAACGAUACGUCGGAGAACAGAGCCGCUGGCGGCGGGGAAAGAGAAGAGAGGAUGGAAGAUAAGUUUGGGAGGGAUCGGCGGAUGGCUUCCCACUUGAGGCAAAAGGGGUCAGUGGAGUUGUGGAACUGCUGCUCGGAGACUUGUGGGUAAGCGGCGAGGAAUUUGGAAAUGAGAGAUGACUCUGCCUGAGAUACGAUUGGGUGGCUGGUGAUUAGGGUGACGUGGCAGUCUUGACUCAGUAAGUUUGCGGCUAGGCGGAGGAAUGGCAUGAGGUGGCCGGCGCCGGAGCUUGGGAGGAGGGCGACGUGGGCAGAGGGACGGCGGAGGAGGGAAUCGGCGGUGGUGGUUGUUGACAUGGUGGCGGCUUUGAAUUGUAGUGGUGGUCGGAGGGAGAAGGUUGAGUUGUUGGUUGGUUGUGGUUAGGAUACUUUAAUAUUUCAUUAAUGCAAAUUUAAACCGUGUUGGAGUUGAAGUGACUAAUUUCCUUUAGUUGCAACAGAACUUAAAUUUCAUUUGCUAAUAUUACGGUGCGUUUUCGCUUUCAUUUCUUGUUGUUUAAGCCAGAAAAUAAAAAACGAUAUGCAAGUCAAUAUUCUCUUCCACCGCUUUCUCAAACUCGCCGGAAAAACCUCUUCUAAACCUCCUUUCCAGAGUUCUCUCAUCAACAUCACCGGCGAGUGUGAUGGAGAUAGAUCCUCCGACGCAAGCUUCUGAGAUCCCUCAGAUCAAAGACGAAGACCUAUUCAAAGCCGCUGAGACCGGCGAUUGUUCGGUCCUCAGCUUGCUCCCUCCGCCGCAGCUCACAAAAUCCCUCUCCCUCCGGAACGACGACCGCCGCUCCCUCCUCCACGUCGCCUCUUCCUCCGGUCACACUGAGGUACUCCCAUUCGUGAAUCGAUUUCCAAUUUUUUUAUGUUCGUUGCUAAUGAGAAACCAAACUUGAUAAUUAUCAGGCGGUGAAGAUUCUAUUAGAGGUUGAAGGAUCUGAAAGCGUUGUGAACAUCACGGACGAGGAAGGUUGGGCGCCUCUGCACUCCGCCUCUAGCAUUGGCAGUGUUCCGAUCGUCGAAAUUUUGUUGAGUAAAGGUACACUUAACUAAUGCGUAAUAUAUGAGAAAUUUGGAGGUCGCCAUUUGAUGAUAAUACUUCAUUCUGUGGUGUGUUUCUCACUGAUGUUCAUAUGUUAUACUAAUGAUUUCGUGAUGGAAUGUCUAAUUUAGAAGUUUAAGCGUUUACACUUCCAGUGGUAAUCAGAAAUGUCUAUGAUGUUUUGAAUUGAUUUGAUGACUGAGGAGGAUUUUGAAUAGGUGCGGAUGUGAAUUUGAAGAACGGUGGAGGACGAACUGCGCUCCACUAUGCUGCGAGCAAGGGAUGGUUGAAGAUUGCUGAAGUGUUGAUUGCACAUGGUGCUAAAUUGAACGUGAAGGACAAGGCUUGUAAACUUUACUUGACUGUGAUUUGAAAUGUGAAUAGCGCGUUUUGUCAAGCUACAUUGUCUUAAUACGGUUUCCCUAAUGCUGAAUUCAGGUAGGAUGUACACCAUUGCAUCGAGCAGCGAGUGUCGGGAAGGCGGAGUUGUGCGAAUUCUUAGUUGAGGAAGGAGCAGAGGUUGAUGCUGUGGAUAGAGCUGGUCAAACUCCUCUUAUGAAUGCUGUGAUUUGCGACAAUAGAGAGGUGAGCUUCGGCCAAGAAUGGUUUGGUUUGUUUAUGUUGCUCGAAAUGGUAGCCCUUUGCUAUCAAUUGGAAGUUCUUUCUGAAUGCUUGUGCUGUUAACAGGUAGCUCUUCUUCUAAUAAGGCAUGGAGCAGAUGUGAAUGCGGAGGACAAAGAAGAAUACACUGUGCUUGGUCGAGCUUCGCGCGACUUUAGGGAUAUUCUCAUUGAUGCUGCAAAAGCCAUGCUUGAAGGGUGAAGCCUUCCCUCGUAACGUAACUUAGGUUUGGCUCUACAAUCAGUUGAUUGGUUAUAUUAUCUGAACACAUGCUUGUAUGGAUGCUGUAGCAGGCAACAUCUUUGAUCCUCGGUUUUAGUAGCUUCUUCAAGUUUUUUUCAGCUACAGACAGUCUUGUUAACUCCUUGUUCAUGGCUGAUAGUCAAUUCAUCAGAAAGGUAGAUAGAAUCUUGAUAAAUACGUUUGAAGCACUAGAAUCUGAGGCAGUUUCCGAUGCCAGAAAGUAUGGAGGUAAUCCCUAACUUGCCUCGGAUUCUUGAACUCACACACACCAGGUGAGUUCAAGCCUGAGGACUCAGUGAGCCACUGAGAUGGCUCUAGUGGCUAGAUGAUCGUUUGCCAGGUCUGUAGUAUAUGCUUAGUUUCGGCAUUAGGACAGCGUUACCAAGUCUUGAGAGUACUCUCUUUGUUUCUUUACAGCUAAGGUUCCCAUGCUUAGUCAAUCUACAGGUACAAACUUGGUAGGUUAGUCCAUGCGUACUACAUUCAGUGUGCAUUUAUGAACUCCUACUACAUUAGGUUUUCUCUUCUCGAAACAAGAUGCCCAUGUCGAAUUAAAUGUCGUCCAUACCGGAUGAUAAUAUUUUUUCUGAUAAUAUUUUUUCCAGGACUAUGAGGUGUUGGUUAGAACUUAAGACGUUGACAUUGAUUCUAACAGUUCCAAUACUUAAUCAGUGGCAAGUUUGAGGAAAGACUUCAUCGAGCAACGGUUUAGCCCUCGCUCGAUCUAGAGCUACCAUGAUAAUUUUCAUAGUUUAUACGUCGAACACAUUGCCUAUUUCUGCAUUCCGAUUAGUGCUUCAAAUCAUUCGAGAUUGUUACUAUGUGUAGCAUGUUUUCUACUAUAGUAAAUGUUGAGGAGUGAGAAAUUAUAAUCGAAACCUAAUGUAUGUUUCUGUAUUUGAUCAAUUCGAUCCAAUACUUUAAAUCAUCGUGACUGUCACGGAUCGACACGAUAUCGAAUUGCGUGAGAUAUUACAUUGUAUUGAAGUUAAGUGGAAAAUGGAAAUGGGUCUUGGAAGAAUUGUACUAUGUAUUGACGAGAUGGUAUGAACGUAGCCACAUGAUCCACCUAACCAAACUACCCAUAAAAACCAAAACCAUCUACAUAACCUACAAGUCCCAAGUAACACAGUCUGCGAACUCACACUUCACACUUCAGACCCCUCCGACCACCGUCAAACAAAAAUCAAUGACAACCUCCGACGACCACCGCCCACACGUAGCCCUUCUCCCAAGCUCCGGCGCCGGCCACCUCACCCCAUUCCUCCGUCUAGCAGCAACCUUACUCACCAAAAACGUCCGAGUCACCUUAAUCACCAGCCACCCAAUCGUCACCGACGCCGAGUCAUCUCUGAUCUCCCAUUUCCUCGCCGCCUUCCCACAAGUCUCAGAGCAGCAAUUCCACAUCCUACCCAUAGACCCAUCCACCGCCAACUCCACCGACCCAUUCUUCCUCCAGUGGGAAUCCAUCCGUCGCUCCCUCCACCUCCUCUCCUCCAUCUUCUCCUCCAUCUCCCCGCCGCCGGCUGCAAUGGUCUCCGACAUAACACUAAUUUCCUCAACCAUCUCCGUCUCCCAGGACCUUCAAAUCCCCAACUACGUCCUCUUCACUUCCUCCGCCAGAAUGCUGUCUUUGGUAACCCGCUACCCUGCCUUCACCAAAACCCAGAUCGAAUCCGCCGACAAGUUUGAAAUCUCGGGAAUCGGAGACUUACCCAGAUCGUCGAUCCCGCCGUUGCUUCUAAAGCCGGAGUCUUUAUUCGCCACCAUGUUCAAAUCCAACAGCGAGAAUCUCCGCAAGUUCGACGGAAUCCUGAUCAACACGUUUGACAGGCUGGAGACGGAAGCUCUGUCAGCGAUCAGGAAAGGGGAUGUUGCAGAUGGGUUACCGGAUUUGUUCAAUAUCGGAUUGAUUCCUCACGAUUUCGAGAGGAAAUCAGUGGGUGGAGGAAAGACGGAAGAGGUGAUGAAAUGGUUGGAUGGGAAGGAGGCGAAUUCGGUGGUGUAUGUGAGCUUCGGAAGCAGGACGGCUCUGUCGAGAGAUCAGAUUAAGGAGCUGGGGAAAGGGUUGGUUGAGUCAGGGUUUGGAUUUGUUUGGGUGAUGAAGGAUAAGGUUAUAGACAAGGAAGAUGGGGAGAGAUUGGAGGAUGUUUUGGGAGAGGAGAUGAUGGAGGAGGGUGGGGGAAGAGGGUUAGUGGUGAAGGAAUGGGUGGAUCAAGUUGAAGUGAUUGGGCAUGAUUCGGUUGGUGGGUUUGUGAGCCAUUGUGGGUGGGUGAGAAGAAGGUGAGGGAAUUGGCUAAGGAGAUUAGGGUUGAGAUUAGGGGUGAUGUUGGGGUUGGUGGGAGGUGUGAUUUGGGUUUGGAUUUGUUGGUUGAGAAGUGGAGUUCUUGAAUAAGUGUUUUCUACUUUUCUUAGGGGGGUUUGUGAUCCUAUAAGUAAUUCAUUGUUGAGUGAUGCUGCCUAAUGUCAUUCUCUUCUUCCGACCCUUUCAUUCACACCAAAACAAGAUUCAAUCAUUGAUAUGACUGGAAAAUUAUGUGAAUAUUGUUGGAAAUAUGUAUUUGGAUUCGACUUUGGUGUGAUGACAGCAUUAUGAACUUAAUUUUGGUGCGAUGUUAGAGUUGGGACGGAUGUAUGAACUCACGGGAAAACCUUACAUUGGUUUAUAGAAAGCUGGAACUAGCUGACAUCUGCUCCUCUAUGAGCUAAAUGAUGUUAGGGAUUGACACUAAAACUCGUCCAACUCAACCUUGAGAUGGAUGUUAGUGUCACAAGCUGCGAUAUUGAGCUGAGCUACAGUGAUGAUAGGGAGCUAGGUAGUUGGGGUGGUUACUCCUUCUCAUAGGACGAAUGGGUACACACCUCUUCGUGAGAUUCAAACUCAUUUCUAAGUUGUUUUCCUUCCAAACCCGUAGGACUUCAAGGUGGUUACCUUCAAGUCUAUCCAUGGAGAUAAUGACUCCUCUUGGUGCAUGAAUUCGUACCCCUUCAGUACUAUACUCCUUUACCUAUAUAAAGAAAGCAGUAGUGUGGGAGAAUACACAAGAAAACGAUCUAUCCUAACCUACGAUUUUAAGCGAUUCUAGUAUCUAAAGUCUAAGAACUUGAGUGGAGAUGGUCUUAUCCUCGGAAGGAAUUUCCUGAUACCCAAAAUUUGUAGGGUAGAAAUACUUUUCAUUUCUUCAAAAAGUGAUACCCAUGAUUCCGUCUUAAUCCUAAAUCUCAUCACGUAUGAAAUUCAAAUUUGUUUGGUCUUAUGACUAUAUAAACAAAUCUUAUAUUCUGACAACAAUAAUAGUUGCCUAAAUCUUUGCUAUUGUGUCAACAGUAAUUAAAAACUAUAUAUAUAUCAGAUUUAACCUGUACUUAAAGUACAAAAAAUUACCAUCCUAUUUAACGUGAUUAGCGCCGUUUUAACUUUUAACCAUACUUCCAUUGAUCCAACUAAGAAAGAAAAAGAACGGGCCUUCCAAAACUGAGGCCCAGAUGGAGGUAAGAUCCAAAACUGAGGUCCUGUCUCAGUUGCUUGCCAACUACAAGUCAGCCACUAGCUCCAAUGGCUCACUCUAUUUUUCUUUUACAAAACCAUUACUGAAGUUUUAACAUGAUAACAAACAGGUAUCGAGUGCUAAUUAAGUGGUCAAACUCCACCUACGACAACCUAGGGCUCCAAAAUGUCACAACUAUUGUUAUUGUGGAUUAUGAAUGCCCUUGUUACUCUUGUCUAAACACUGAUCAUGAAAACCAAUUACCUUCACUACUGACUUUUAUUUCUUCUUCAAGUGUGUAUUUAACUAGCUAUAUAUAUAUCAGUCAUCUAAAGAUUAUAAUCUUUUGAAUCUAUAAAUAGUUUUCUCAGCCUUGUAAGCGAUAUAUAAAAAUAUAAUAAAAAUAUCUUAUUCUCCAGACUCUUGUCUUCUUCUUUUUCUUAUUUUCAUAACAUCAAACAUACGUAUAAACAACUAUCCUUUAGAAUAACACAAUUAGUUACAUUGUGUGCUGCUUUAUACUAUUCUUGUAGAAUAACACAAUUAGUUACAUUGUGUGCUGGCAACAUAUAAAUUUUAAAUUCAAAUCUAAUACUCUAGAGUCGGUAUAAGUAUUGCCUUGUCUACGAAAAAAAUGGCCUUUUGGAUCGAGGCCUCCAGCAGCCAUACUGUCUACGGAAAAACAGCGGGCCUGACCGGUACUGAGAGAGAGAAAAAACGGGCCUGACUGGUACUGAGACUCUAAGAGAAAAACAACGGGCCUUCCGAAAUUGAGGCCCAGCCUGCUAGAAUGGAGAUAAGAUCCAAUAAGAUAGGUACACGGCUCUUCUUCAUUUCAUUGGUUUACGUUACGAAAUACUGGCCGUUAACUUUUGGACUAAAGAAGCUGGAAUCAUCACUCUACAAAGCAGGGGAGACAAAUAAGAAAUCAUGAACUCCGUCUCCCAAUCUUCGAUUUUCCAGAUUUCUUCAGCCACAUUCACCGUAGUCCCUAAACUGCCGAGCUCUCGGAAGCAGCUCCCGGUCUCAGUUGCUUGCUCCUGCAAGUCACCCACAAGCUUCAUUAAUGGCUUUUCUAAGGCUUUAGUAGCCACUGCUGCUGCUGUCGCCAUUCUCGUCUCUGCAUCGCCAGGUUCAUAACCCAGAAUUCCAUUCCCUUGAUUCUUUACUAAAACAAUGGUGGGUUGGGCUUUGCUUAGCCCAAAGAUUCCACCUUGAUUAUUUGUGAUGCCUAUUAGGAACUAUGAGUGAUUGAGAUGAAACAGUACAUACUGACACCGACUUUGAGGUCAUGAUGUUUUGUUGUUUAGAGGGUUUGUCAAGGAAUGUUAGAUGUUCGUUGGGAUCGGACCAGACUCGGGUUCGAAUAUAAAAGUAUGGAACCCUCCCAUCUUGCCAGUUCUGGUCCACUCGAAAAACCUGUCAUUUGGUGUCAUUGAAGAACUAUUAAAACCUCCAAAACCGUUUGAAUCGUUCAGUUUGAUUCUAUCGUUCGUUAGUUCGACUCAAAAGUAUCUAACGAUGUGUAUGAAAUAGAAAUCAUGAAUGUUAAGUGACUGUGUCUGUUAUGUUACCGUGUUCUGUUAAAAUUGAUGUUUAUAAAUAAUGUAAUUUGGUCAUUCACAUGCACUUCCUUUUUGCAGCAAAAGCUGGAUUGAUGUCAGGCUUCUCUGGGAUAGAAUCAGUACCAGGUCCUGAACUGCCUAAGAUGGACUUCCUCACUCGUUUCAAUGGUUUGAUCCAAUUCUUCUUUCUCUAUGUAGACAAAUAUUGAAACACUUCUUGUUCUGUUCCUGCUCAGUUUCAGUAAUUUCUCACCAGUUUAUGGCUGCAGAUGAGAACCAGAAGAAGUAUGCUGAGGAUGAUGCAAGAUUCAAAUCAUCUCCUAUUCUCAAGGAGCUUCUUGAGAAAUCCAAGCUCAACCAAGAAAAGUAAAUGCUUAGUUAUAUUAUAUCUACUUGUAUAGAAUCUCACACAUAUGUGCUUAGUGGGAAUCAUAAAUCAAUGGCAUAUAUUUUGUGAGCAGGAACAAGAAGGAGAUACAGGACAAGUACUGCAUUCGAGGGGCGGAAUGGGGGGUUGGUGAUUGUUCAGCAGAGGGUAUGACUCCACAGCAGAAAGAUGAGUUCAUAGCAAUGCUGAAACAGAAGGCUGGAAUCAAAGAAUGAACCUUCUGCAACAUUCCUUCACACUUGUGGUAGACAGAACAGUUUUAGCACAUAUGGUUAUGUCCCAUAGGUCAAGUCAGUAAAUAUCAAACAAUUUGAGGGGACACUGAUGUAACCCCCUUUUGGCUGAUCUCCUUGCCGAUGACCUUGUUUGGUUUGAUGCCAUUUUCCCCUUUGGUGUUUGUUUGAUGCCAUUAUUGCAUCUCAUGAAAGGAACCUGUUUUUCUUGCUGGUUUUGACGCUCAUAUGAUCAUGCACUUGCUCGCCAUGUCCGGUUUUCAGCUUCACCAUUUUCGAGUGAUGCCUCUUCUAGUUGGUCGGAGGAUGCUUUACUUUCUGUAUACAUAAACACUGAGCACUAAAUUAAUGAAAUGAUGAUGAUUUUACUCUAAAAAGAGCGCUGUAGUAAAUAGAUUUUGCUCCAAACUACUAUGCAUUUCUCUAUCAUUCAUUAUCUAUCUCAAUUGUAUCAUAAUUCAUCUCAUAAUCAUCUUAAAGAAUUUGAGAAUUGUGCCAAAUCAUGCAUGAGUUAAGCUCUAAGUCAAUCUUAAUUCUAAUUUGAUACUUAGGUAAUAUUUAGGGUCAUUCAAAAGUUUUAAACUUUUGAUUCUAAUAAUUACUCGAUUCUCUACUCCUCUACUCAAUAAAUUAUUUCAACCUAAAGUCAAAUAUGGUUUAUUUUAAUUGGCCUCAAUAUGAAUGUAUAUCUAUAAUAUUGGGUACUAUAUAGAAACCACAACAAAAAUGGAGGACUAAUACAUAUGUUUUCUUCCUUCCGCAAAAGAAAACAAACCGAGUUCUAUGAAUUAUUAUAUUCCCUCAUAAUUUAGGAACAGAUUUCUGGCCGAAUGAGCUCUGCAAAAAAUUGCAAGCUCACCGAAGCCAACCAGCCAGCCCAGCAAGCACAAUCAUAAAGAAGUACCGUAUCUUCCCCCACGAACCCAAUCAAAUCAAAUAAAUCUUCUUCAUUGAUCCCUCGGUAUGUUCUUUGAAUCUCAAAAUUUUCCUCCGUUCCCACCUCAAUUUUCCCCUUCUGGGUUUGUUUGUUUGUUUUUUCACGAGAAUUUGAGAUUUAGAGGUCUGGAUUUCUUUUGGGUUCUUUCUUAUUUGCUUGGUUUGUCGACAAAGAGGCUGAAUUGGAUUGUGAUUUUGGUUUGAAGCUGUUCUGGGUUUUUUCCCAAUUUCCAGGUUGCAAAAUGAAGAAACUUGUUCAGUGUAUUUUGAAGUAAAGCUGAUAACUUUUUGAUUUGAAGAUGAAUGGCUAUAAAUAUCUCCGUUAAAUGUUUAAUGCUGUGUAGUUAAGAUGGUUGAAUAUCCAAUAACUCGAGUUGUUUGGAGGUUCAUAGUUGAUCUAUAUAGCAUUCCUGAACACGUCAGAAAAUCGAAGUUUGCACAGUGAAAUGGUUAUAUGGGAGCUAAUAGGAUUCAGUGCUAGGACCUUUCGAUGAAAGGCUUUGAUAUCAUGUAAAGAACCGUUGUAUCCUAGUAACACUUAGCUGUUAGGAGAGCUUCAUAGUUGGUCUGUAUAAUAUUCCUUAACAUCUUUAAUUGUAAUGAUGCAGAUCUAAUUGCACUUAUUUUCUUGCUGUAAUUUUGCAGGAACUUCCAUACUCUUUGAGCUCUGAAAUCUCAGUGAUCUUUGGAUUCAGGAGGGGUGAACUGAUAGUUUGGAGGAUAUGUACAGGGGUGUGUCUUCGGCUGCCACCACCCGUGGUGGUUCCCCCACGGACAGUGGGGAUUCUGUUGUGACAUUAGAUCAAGUUCCACGAUGGAGCGAUGUAGAGAGUAGGCCUACUUAUGGUUAUGAUAACAUGGAUCCUUCAUUUGCAAAUCCAUUCUUCCCUGAUCCUUUAGCAUCUAGUCCUGAUGGGGAUAACAAUGGGAAUGGAGUGGUAUCGAGAUUCCCGGUUGACCAUGAAAUCAACUCCAAGAUACAUCUAUGGAGAGGAAACCCGUGGAAUCUUGAGGUUGAUGCGGUAGUGAAUUCGACAAACGAGGUGAGCACAUAGGAAUCCGUAAAGUGGAAAUGAGGAUUUGUCAAGUUACUAUUGCUGACAUGUUUCUGCAUUACCGGUUGCAGAACCUCGACGAAGCACACAGCAGUACUGGUCUGCAUGCUGCAGCUGGACCCGGUCUUGCAGAGGAAUGUGCAACACUGGUAUAUUCUCGAUCGAUUGAUAUAGGCCAUGUUAUUUAUGUAGUAGUAAUUCUAUCAAUGUGGUUAACUUAAGUUCAAAAUUUUGGAAAUGCUGAUAGGGUGGAUGCAGAACAGGAAUGGCAAAAGUUACUAAUGCAUAUGAUCUUCCUGCUAGGUUUGUACACACUCAUGAUACUGCUAAUUUCGAAACAAUUGCGCCGGUUCUGGUCUAAGAUAAAGCUGAUAAUUGCAUCCCUGAUUUUGUGGCAGGAGAGUUAUUCAUACCGUCGGUCCAAAGUAUGCUGUGAAAUAUCAUACUGCUGCCGAGAACGCCUUGAGCCACUGUUAUAGAGCUUGCCUUGAGUUACUCAUUGACAAUGAGCUUGAAAGGUCCUUACUUUCUUAUCGUUUGUCAAUUUCAUUUAUCGGUUAUGAAACAUUGAACUGACUUCAAAUUUGAGUUUAAUAAACACAGCAUUGCUAUGGGAUGUAUAUAUACUGAAGCUAAAAACUAUCCCCGUGAACCAGCUGCACAUGUUGCUAUAAGUAAGUUCAGUUCCUUUGAGCUUGAAUGCACUGACUAUUCAUGGUUUCAGUAUUACUGUUUAUAACUGGUUUUGGAUGUUUGCAUUCUGUUCAGGAACUGUUCGGCGUUUUCUUGAGAAGCAGAGGGAUAAGAUUACAGCAGUUGUAUUUUGUACCACCACCACGAUUGAUACUGAAAUAUAUAAAAGGUAUCUAAGCAUGGGGAGUCUCUUUUUAUAGCCUUGGAAAUUCCAAUAGUAUGAACUUGUCAACUAUCGUAACUUGAUUCCGGAUUCUUUUUCUCAUCUGCUUAUGUGCAUCGUAGGCUGCUGCCACUCUAUUUUCCGCGAGAUAAACACGAAGAGGAGGUGGGCAUAUCCAAACUUCCCGCUGAUGUUGGGGACGAGAAUGGAGAGACGACAAUAGAUGAACGCAAAAUCAGAAUAAAGCCUUUGCCCAAGAAAAACAUUCCGAAACCUCCUGAAACUCACGAAGAGCUACCUAUUAACGACGUGAGCUUGGUGCGAAGGUCAGUCAUUCUCAUUUUGAAAACAAGGGGAAAAAUAUCCCUAAUGCUUCGGUAAACUGACUGCUUUUGUUAUAAUAUUUGCAGAGACUCCGCAUAUUUGGAUUCAUAUUUGGAUCCAGCGUUCAUGUCCUUAAUAAAGGAUCCAGAUCAGAGACGCAGGGAGCAGUGGGAAAAAACUGCUCAAGCACAAAGCGGGUUUAACUUCGCCAAGCUGCUUGGUUUUGGCGAUCUCGGUGGUCCUCCUUUGUCUGUUGCCGAAGAGUACUCUUUGCAUUCUCGAUAUCUCGCUAAAGCUAACUCUCUUAAUCUCUCCGAAAUUGCAGAGAUGAAAAUUGUGUAAGCAUCCUCUUCUCUCUGCCAUAUAAUGACUUCUUUAGUGUCUGCCUCAAUUUUUUUUAUGGAUUAUUGAUGCCUUUUGUAUUGCAGUUACCGCGGUGGGGUAGACAGCGAAGGCCGGCCAGUAAUGGUCGUUGUGGGAGCACACUUCUUGCUAAGAUGUCUUGAUCUGGAGAGAUUUGUGCUUCACGUCAUCAAGGUAAUUCACUCUGCUGUCGUUUGUCAUAUUUUCCACCUCGAUUAAUCUUCGCUGCAGAAAACUGAAAGAGAAUCUACUUCGGUGAAUAUUCCAGGAAUUCGAGCCUUUGAUCCAGAAGCCAUUUUCGAUCGUGUAUUUCCAUUCUGCAGCAUCGUUACAGCUGUAAGUAUAAUUUAUAGCAAGCUAUAAUUAUAAGACGUAAUCGACCUAUUAUAAUUUAUAACAAGUUAUAGUUAUAACUAGUUAUUAUUAGUUAUAAUAACUUGUUCUGCUUGGCUAAUGUCUUUGGUACCAACUGUCACAUGUACUUGUUCCGUGAAAUGCAGGCAACCGGACUUGGGAUUCAUGAGGAAACUACAGCAAAUACUUGGCCGAAAACACCAGAGAAAUCUCCAUGUAUGUACCCACUUCCACACCAUUCCAAGCAAACUUACUAAUGACUGAUCUUCAGCUUGAUUUGUUCAUGAUCCUCUCUAUGCAGGCAAUCUAUGUCCUCCAUCCGACAUUACAUCUAAAAGCGGUAGUUCUUGGGAUGCAAAUGCUGGUAGAUAACGUGGUAAGUCUAGCUUUACUCCCUAACCACAGUGCAGCUCCCUCAAAAGACUUUAUAUUGACUAACACCAUUUCUGCAAUUGAUGCACCUAGACAUGGAAGAAGGUCGUAUACGUAGACAGGCUUCUGCAACUCUUCAAAUACGUCCCCCGCGAGCAAUUGACCAUCCCCGAUUUUGUCUUCCAGUUAAGAAUCUUAUCUAACGAGCUUUCUACCAUUAAACCAGAUAAACCUUCUAAACCCCUUUUUUCUGCAGGCACGACUUGGAAGUCAACGGAGGGAAGGGUCUUAUCAUAGACCCGCGAACGAAAUAUGUGUACCAACGACCCUCUUAGGCACACGAUCGACACAGCAAAUAUGAUGACUUUCUGAACAGCCCUGCCACAUCUCCAACUUUGAAUCGACCUUCGGUUUGCCUUCUCGACGGGCAUCGCUUCGAUCCCUGCAGUUCUGUGUACAAAAGAAAUGUAUCUCAACUCAAAGUUCUUUACUUUCUUACCGUUUGUUGGUGUUGAUUUGGAAUAUCAUGUCAGAAGAAUAGCUUAGUGUAUCUCUCCAUUGUUUUAUUCCAUUUUGAUGUUUUGGGGGAAGGUCACCUGGGUUUGUUGACGAUGAUCAUAAGCUUAAUAAGAAAUUUAGUUCCUUUUUUCUCUGUAAAUCAAAGUUGUAAUCUAAGCCUGUUAACGACGGUAUUAUGGCGAACCUUUAGCGACGAUUUUAUCAUCCAACUUAGCGACGAUACGAACGAUGCCGUAUUUAAAAAUGUUAUUCUAGAUGUCAACAUCUGAACGGGGGACGCAUGUUAAUUACGAUGGCCUCGUAUGCAGAAAGAUGAAAUCCAGUCCCUUCUCUGGUAUCCAAAAGUUUCUCUUUUUCCCAAUCCAAAAAUUUGUGAAGCAGACGAAAAGCAGCUCGCUUUACAUUAAUCGGAGGUUGAUUCAGGCUCCGGCAGCUCGCCGGUGACCUCUUCUGGCGAUCACCAGCGAUAUUUUCCUAAACUGGGUUUAGCUUCAAUCUUUUCGCCACAGGUUUUCAUCCAGUAAUUCAGAGUUAGAUAGCUAGAGAUUAAGAAUUCCUCACUUUAUGAGCUCAUUCAUUUGGUUUUUUGGUUAUUGUUUCAGCUAUAGCCGAUUGAUUGGUCGAAGUAUGCUCCGAGGCCAAGGUCUGUCGCCAGGCACUCUAACAACGUACGGUAACUGUGGGAUUUCCGCAAGGAUUCCAUGUUGGAGGAGGCAUUUUAAGCUUGAAUGGAAGACCAGUAGAUUACACUUCGGAUUUGGUAUGGAUUUGGCGAGCAAGUGUAAUAAUAAUAAUGUAAUGGGGAGAAGGAGUUUGAGAGUUGAAGCUGGAUGGCUGUUCAGUGGCAACAGUGGGAAUCAAGACUCGAAUUCGGGUGCAAGACUCGAGCAAAGCGAGAGCGUGAAUGAGGACAUUCUCAUCUUCUUCUUCCAGCUUGAUCUCGCAACUCGUGUUCAGGUCUGUGAGAUUUUUGGUUUAUGUUUCGGGGGAGGAGUUACGAAUUUUGUUGUUGAUUUACAAUGCGGAUGAUUUGCAGUGUGCUCUGAACAUGGAACAAUAUGACGUUGCUCAACAGCUCAGAAACAAGCUUACUGAGGUUAGUUCCUAGUUUUCGGCACAGUAUAUCGGUGUUCAUUUGCUAUCGUUCUGUUGUUGCCAAAUGUGGAUAUAUGUGAUUGUCCAUGUUCAUGUAAAUCAACUACUUGAUCAGAUUUCACGAUUCAUUUUCGUGUUUGUUAUUACUCCGAAGCUUUGCCACAUUAGCAGCAAGCUGAUUAGUUUCUUGUGUUUGUGUAUCCUCUGAAAAGGUUGAGCAAGACAUUGUGAAGCGAAGGGACACCACAAGAGGAACAUCCUCGAAGAGUGAAGCGCAAGACAAGGCGAUUAAUAUGAUAAGACUACGGUAAGGCUCAGGCUUCUUCAACGGUUUCUCGAUUUAAGCUGAUGUUGAUGUUGUCCUGCUCUU
Molecule: long non-coding RNA, 29897 nt
Filed under: Linum usitatissimum (flax)
Lineage: Eukaryota; Viridiplantae; Streptophyta; Magnoliopsida; Malpighiales; Linaceae
Description: long non-coding RNA (LUSI_LNC006380)
Source: RNAcentral